This 495-nucleotide ribosomal RNA is filed under the name uncultured organism. RNAcentral's name for it is "SSU rRNA". It matches the Rfam family "Bacterial small subunit ribosomal RNA", at positions 8 to 509 of the family's 1533-position model. The record is from RNAcentral.
AGAGUUUGAUCCUGGCUCAGGAUGAACGCUAGCUACAGGCUUAACACAUGCAAGUCGAGCGGAACUACUUCGGUAGUUUAGCGGCAGACGGGUGAGUAACACGUAUCCAACCUUUCCCUCACUCGGGUAUAGCCUCGGGAAACUGAGAGUAAUCCCCGAUGAAGUGUACGAGGAGCAUUUUUUGCACACCAAAGAUUAAUCGGUGAGGGUGGGGAUGCGUUCCAUUAGCUGGUAGGCGGGGCAACGGCCCACCUAGGCGAUGAUGGAUAGGGGUUCUGAGAGGAAGGUCCCCCACAUUGGAACUGAGACACGGUCCAGACUCCUACGGGAGGCAGCAGUGAGGAAUAUUGGACAAUGGCCGAGAGGCUGAUCCAGCCAUGCCGCGUGCGGGAGGACGGCCCUAUGGGUUGUAAACCGCUUUUGUUGGGGAGCAAUAAGUCUUACGUGUAAGAUGAUGAGAGUACCCAGCGAAUAAGCAUCGGCUAACUCCGUGCC